RNAcentral lists this ribosomal RNA (520 nucleotides) under uncultured bacterium. RNAcentral's name for it is "bacterial SSU rRNA". It matches the Rfam family "Bacterial small subunit ribosomal RNA", at positions 874 to 1361 of the family's 1533-position model. The record is from RNAcentral.
GCGCAGUCAUAACGCGUUGAAAGUUUGACCGCCUUGGGGAAGCUACGGUCGCAAGAUUAAAACNUCAAAGGAAUUGACGGGGACCCGCACAAGCGGUGGAUGAUGUGGAUUAAUUCGAUGCAACGCGAAAAACCUUACCUACCCUUGACAUGUCUGGAAUGCCGAAGAGAUUUGGCAGUGCUCGCAAGAGAACCGGAACACAGGUGCUGCAUGGCUGUCGUCAGCUCGUGUCGUGAGAUGUUGGGUUAAGUCCCGCAACGAGCGCAACCCUUGUCAUUAGUUGCUACGAAAGGGCACUCUAAUGAGACUGCCGGUGACAAACCGGAGGAAGGUGGGGAUGACGUCAAGUCCUCAUGGCCCUUAUGGGUAGGGCUUCACACGUCAUACAAUGGUCGGGACAGAGGGUCGCCAACCCGCGAGGGGGAGCCAAUCCCAGAAACCCGAUCGUAGUCCGGAUCGCAGUCUGCAACUCGACUGCGUGAAGUCGGAAUCGCUAGUAAUCGCGGAUCAGCAUGUCGCG